CGUAGGGGGCAAGCGUUGUCCGGAUUUACUGGGCGUAAAGAGCGCGUAGGCGGACGUUUAAGUGUGGCCUGAAAGCCCCCGGCUCAACCGGGGGAUCCGGGUUGCAAACUGGACGUCUUGAGGGGGAUAGGGGAAGGUGGAAUUCCUGGUGUAGCGGUGAAAUGCGUAGAGAUCAGGAGGAACACCCGUGGCGAAGGCGGCCUUCUGGGUCCGCCCUGACGCUGAGGCGCGAAAGCGUGGGGAGCGAACGGGAUUAGAUACCCCGGUAGUCCACGCCGUAAACGAUGAUUACUAGGUGUGUGUGGUAUCGACCCCACACGUGCCGCAGCUAACGCAAUAAGUAAUCCGCCUGGGGAGUACGGCCGCAAGGUUG
RNAcentral lists this ribosomal RNA (373 nucleotides) under uncultured organism. Its description in RNAcentral is "bacterial SSU rRNA". It matches the Rfam family "Bacterial small subunit ribosomal RNA", at positions 526 to 896 of the family's 1533-position model. The record is from RNAcentral.